This 72-nucleotide transfer RNA is filed under the name Marmota monax (woodchuck). It matches the Rfam family "tRNA". From Rfam's summary of the family: Transfer RNA (tRNA) molecules are approximately 80 nucleotides in length. Their secondary structure includes four short double-helical elements and three loops (D, anti-codon, and T loops). The record is from Rfam by way of RNAcentral. Lineage: Eukaryota; Metazoa; Chordata; Mammalia; Rodentia; Sciuridae.
UGGGGUGUGGCUCAGUGGUAAAGUGCUCACCUAGCAUGGGUGAGGCCCUGGGUUGGAUUCUCAGCACCACAU